Sinocyclocheilus rhinocerous is the source of this 535-nucleotide long non-coding RNA. RefSeq lists it as uncharacterized. Lineage: Eukaryota; Metazoa; Chordata; Actinopteri; Cypriniformes; Cyprinidae. The record is from RefSeq and is a predicted model, not a curated record. The transcript has 3 exons.
UGGAACUCAAAUUAAUAGACUUUGGUGGCAGUUGCCUCGUCAAUCCUUCUGGCUUUGAAAAUGGACAUUUAGGAGGUUGCCGCCCACCUGAGUACCCAAGUGAAUAUCACGCAGGCCCAACAACAGUCUGGAGUCUGGGCGCCGUGCUUUACUCAAUGGUCACUGGAAAUAAGCCUUUUAAGACUGCAUUUGACAGAAUGAUAGCCAAUGUGACGAUCGACCACACAUUAUCCAGAGAAUGCCAGGAUUUGAUAAACCGGUGCCUGACUCGUGAUCCUGCAGAGAGAGCAACUUUAGAGGAGAUCUUACAGCAUGAAUGGUUUCAACAGGGACAAAUGUCAGGAAUAGCUCAGGAGUCAGGUAGUGUAACAUAGGGAAGGCAGAAGAGAAAUCCGAAAUUAUUUUUAUGAAAAAGCAAGCAGUGCUUCAAUUUUUCUUUACAUGUAUUAAUUUGGAAGAUGCUCCAAAUCAGCCCCAGUGAGGAAAAACAGCACAAACCAUUCAGCUUCAGAGGGUCAAGUUUAGUUAAACAUUA